This 2194-nucleotide ribosomal RNA is filed under the name Escherichia coli. Its description in RNAcentral is "partial 23S ribosomal RNA". It matches the Rfam family "Bacterial large subunit ribosomal RNA", at positions 1 to 2211 of the family's 2925-position model. The record is from RNAcentral. Lineage: Bacteria; Pseudomonadati; Pseudomonadota; Gammaproteobacteria; Enterobacterales; Enterobacteriaceae.
GGGUUGUGAGGUUAAGCGACUAAGCGUACACGGUGGAUGCCCUGGCAGUCAGAGGCGAUGAAGGACGUGCUAAUCUGCGAUAAGCGUCGGUAAGGUGAUAUGAACCGUUAUAACCGGCGAUUUCCGAAUGGGGAAACCCAGUGUGUUUCGACACACUAUCAUUAACUGAAUCCAUAGGUUAAUGAGGCGAACCGGGGGAACUGAAACAUCUAAGUACCCCGAGGAAAAGAAAUCAACCGAGAUUCCCCCAGUAGCGGCGAGCGAACGGGGAGCAGCCCAGAGCCUGAAUCAGUGUGUGUGUUAGUGGAAGCGUCUGGAAAGGCGUGCGAUACAGGGUGACAGCCCCGUACACAAAAAUGCACAUGCUGUGAGCUCGAUGAGUAGGGCGGGACACGUGGUAUCCUGUCUGAAUAUGGGGGGACCAUCCUCCAAGGCUAAAUACUCCUGACUGACCGAUAGUGAACCAGUACCGUGAGGGAAAGGCGAAAAGAACCCCGGCGAGGGGAGUGAAAAAGAACCUGAAACCGUGUACGUACAAGCAGUGGGAGCACGCUUAGGCGUGUGACUGCGUACCUUUUGUAUAAUGGGUCAGCGACUUAUAUUCUGUAGCAAGGUUAACCGAAUAGGGGAGCCGAAGGGAAACCGAGUCUUAACUGGGCGUUAAGUUGCAGGGUAUAGACCCGAAACCCGGUGAUCUAGCCAUGGGCAGGUUGAAGGUUGGGUAACACUAACUGGAGGACCGAACCGACUAAUGUUGAAAAAUUAGCGGAUGACUUGUGGCUGGGGGUGAAAGGCCAAUCAAACCGGGAGAUAGCUGGUUCUCCCCGAAAGCUAUUUAGGUAGCGCCUCGUGAAUUCAUCUCCGGGGGUAGAGCACUGUUUCGGCAAGGGGGUCAUCCCGACUUACCAACCCGAUGCAAACUGCGAAUACCGGAGAAUGUUAUCACGGGAGACACACGGCGGGUGCUAACGUCCGUCGUGAAGAGGGAAACAACCCAGACCGCCAGCUAAGGUCCCAAAGUCAUGGUUAAGUGGGAAACGAUGUGGGAAGGCCCAGACAGCCAGGAUGUUGGCUUAGAAGCAGCCAUCAUUUAAAGAAAGCGUAAUAGCUCACUGGUCGAGUCGGCCUGCGCGGAAGAUGUAACGGGGCUAAACCAUGCACCGAAGCUGCGGCAGCGACGCUGAUGCGUUGUUGGGUAGGGGAGCGUUCUGUAAGCCUGCGAAGGUGUGCUGUGAGGCAUGCUGGAGGUAUCAGAAGUGCGAAUGCUGACAUAAGUAACGAUAAAGCGGGUGAAAAGCCCGCUCGCCGGAAGACCAAGGGUUCCUGUCCAACGUUAAUCGGGGCAGGGUGAGUCGACCCCUAAGGCGAGGCCGAAAGGCGUAGUCGAUGGGAAACAGGUUAAUAUUCCUGUGCUUGGUGUUACUGCGAAGGGGGGACGGAGAAGGCUAUGUUGGCCGGGCGACGGUUGUCCCGGUUUAAGCGUGUAGGCUGGUUUUCCAGGCAAAUCCGGAAAAUCAAGGCUGAGGCGUGAUGACGAGGCACUACGGUGCUGAAGCAACAAAUGCCCUGCUUCCAGGAAAAGCCUCUAAGCAUCAGGUAACAUCAAAUCGUACCCCAAACCGACACAGGUGGUCAGGUAGAGAAUACCAAGGCGCUUGAGAGAACUCGGGUGAAGGAACUAGGCAAAAUGGUGCCGUAACUUCGGGAGAAGGCACGCUGAUAUGUAGGUGAAGUCCCUCGCGGAUGGAGCUGAAAUCAGUCGAAGAUACCAGCUGGCUGCAACUGUUUAUUAAAAACACAGCACUGUGCAAACACGAAAGUGGACGUAUACGGUGUGACGCCUGCCCGGUGCCGGAAGGUUAAUUGAUGGGGUCAGCGCAAGCGAAGCUCUUGAUCGAAGCCCCGGUAAACGGCGGCCGUAACUAUAACGGUCCUAAGGUAGCGAAAUUCCUUGUCGGGUAAGUUCCGACCUGCACGAAUGGCGUAAUGAUGGCCAGGCUGUCUCCACCCGAGACUCAGUGAAAUUGAACUCGCUGUGAAGAUGCAGUGUACCCGCGGCAAGACGGAAAGACCCCGUGAACCUUUACUAUAGCUUGACACUGAACAUUGAGCCUUGAUGUGUAGGAUAGGUGGGAGGCUUUGAAGUGUGGACGCCAGUCUGCAUGGAGCCGACCUUGAAAUACCACCCUUUAAU